RNAcentral lists this ribosomal RNA (446 nucleotides) under uncultured bacterium. RNAcentral's name for it is "bacterial SSU rRNA". It matches the Rfam family "Bacterial small subunit ribosomal RNA", at positions 65 to 507 of the family's 1533-position model. The record is from RNAcentral.
AACGGCAGCACGGGAGCAAUCCUGGUGGCGAGUGGCGAACGGGUGAGUAAUAUAUCGGAACGUGCCCAGUCGUGGGGGAUAACGUAGCGAAAGCUACGCUAAUACCGCAUACGAUCUACGGAUGAAAGCGGGGGAUCGCAAGACCUCGCGCGAUUGGAGCGGCCGAUAUCAGAUUAGGUAGUUGGUGAGGUAAAGGCUCACCAAGCCGACGAUCUGUAGCUGGUCUGAGAGGACGACCAGCCACACUGGGACUGAGACACGGCCCAGACUCCUACGGGAGGCAGCAGUGGGGAAUUUUGGACAAUGGGCGCAAGCCUGAUCCAGCAAUGCCGCGUGCAGGAUGAAGGCCUUCGGGUUGUAAACUGCUUUGUACGGAACGAAACGGUGAGCUCUAAUACAGUUUGCUAAUGACGGUACCGUAAGAAUAAGCACCGGCUAACUACGUG